CCCUCUGCAGGGCAUCAUGGGAAGCUCCCGAAUGCGGAUGGAGAUGGGCGCGGGCGGACAUCCGGAGACAGGAGAGGGACACACGGACUGUGCUGAAAGGCUGAGGUGAGACCAGGAUCUGUAAAAUCUCUGACUCUCCCACUCUCCGUGUCUCCCCGAGACCGAAGCCGUGUUUGCUGUCAAUGGUUACGUAGUGGCAGAUGCUUAAGACUGAAAA
Sturnus vulgaris (Common starling) is the source of this 217-nucleotide non-coding RNA. The record is from RefSeq and is a predicted model, not a curated record. NCBI's taxonomy places the organism in Eukaryota, Metazoa, Chordata, Aves, Passeriformes, Sturnidae.